CUUCGACCGUGGGACACGCACAUUUCAAAAAAUUUAAAAUGCUUUAGGUAAGUACCAAACGAACCCCACAGAUAUAGCUAAAGUCUUCACAGAAUACUUCACUAAACUCUACAAUCACUCUAGCGGUGAUGCUUCAGAUCCGCAACGCGAACUAUAUAGGAUACGUCCAUUUCUCUCCCAGUUAGCUCUCCCUAAACUUCUCGGGGCGGACUCUAAUGUCUUGACAAAACGGAUCUCGGCCAAAGAAAUAGAUGUGGCAAUUUCCACUUUAAAAAGUAACAAAGCACCGGGUACAGAUUGCUUUGACGAAAGCUAUUAUAAGAUUUUUCGAGACAAACUUGUGCCUCACCUGGAAUCUUGGUUCGACGAUCUCAUGGAAGAGGGGACACCAGAUAGAGAAAUGUCACUAGCAGACAUUGUUCUAUUGCUAAAACCCGGUCGAGAUGACUCAACCCCUGAAAACUUCAGUUUUUAAUAAACCACGAUUCCAAAAUUUUUGUGAAAAUCCUGGCGGGUAGAUUAAACCCGAUUCUUGCACAAUUGGUCCACCCAGACCAAGUGGGGUUUGUGACGGAUAGGCAACUGUUCGAACACGAUACAGAUCUUAUCGAUAUAGAUCUUAGCUGGAGACAGGCCACCAGGGGCACACCGACUUUGAUACGGUCACUGGAUACAGAGAAGGCAUUCGACAGAGUCAAAUGACUUUAUAUAUUCAAAGUCCUAGAACACUUUUGCAUACCGGCCCAGUUUAUAACCGCACAAAUUCGGAUUUCGGGAGCGAAGGUUACCCCAUUCUACCUGAGUAACGGCAUAAGGCAGGGAUACGCUCUUUUGCCUCUACUGUUCGAUCUCUCUUUGGAGACCCUCUUACAAACGAUACGCGCGGCCCCAGAUAUUAAGGGUAUUGCAGUGGGAGGACAGCAAUACGUAAUAUCAGGUUUUGCUGAUAUCCUGCUGACAUUAACGGACCCAAAGAAAUCUAUGGCAGCACUGAGACAUUUUGACAAACUAUAGCGAUUUAGCGAGGGACCACAUUAUAUAUUUAGGCAUACGACUGAACCCUCAAUUAUUUCAACAAAACUAUGUUCCAUUGAUUCGAAUCUUAAUGAAUGACUUUGAGAAGUGGGCGGAUAAGCCGAUUUCCUGGAUAGGAAGAAUCCACUCAGUGAAAAUGAAGGGGCUUCCUAGGAUAUUGUUUCUUUUCCAAGCCCUACCGGUCCGAUUGACUAAAUCUAAUUUGGGGGCACUCCAACAGGCUAUCAGCAAAUUCAUUUGGAAGAACAAGAAACAUAAGAUUUCACGCAAUGUCCUUUACAGGGCAAAAAACAGAGGGGGCUUGGGUCUUCAAAUCUUUAUUUUUUUUAUCAUGAGGCGGCUCAACUAGCCUAAAUAGCGCUAUGGCACUCUCCCCUGGAAGAGAGAAGGUGGGU
This is a non-coding RNA of Pelobates cultripes (western spadefoot toad), 1430 nucleotides long. NCBI's taxonomy places the organism in Eukaryota, Metazoa, Chordata, Amphibia, Anura, Pelobatidae. The record is from the annotation of a GenBank genome assembly.